This 301-nucleotide long non-coding RNA is filed under the name Gallus gallus (chicken). The record is from RNAcentral. Lineage: Eukaryota; Metazoa; Chordata; Aves; Galliformes; Phasianidae.
CCGGUACUUGCGGAGGAAACGGAAAGCGUUGUGGUUCCCAAAGUCCUCAAAUUGGAUCAGGGUGUUCUGACCGUACCGGUCGGUGAUGGCCUCCAUGAAUUCGUCGAUGAGGUCGUCGUAGGCCGGCGAGCGGUCGCGUUUUUGGUACAGCCCCAUGUAGAAGGGGUCCUUUAAGAGGCUGGUGUUGUCGGUGCCGACGUCGAUGCAGACAGGCAGACAUUUGUGGGGGUGGAUCCCGGCGCAGGCGGUGUAAAGGCAGAGUUUCCCCACGGGGAUCCCCAUCCCAUAAACUCCGAGGUCC